Molecule: long non-coding RNA, 2135 nt
Filed under: Lactuca sativa (garden lettuce)
Lineage: Eukaryota; Viridiplantae; Streptophyta; Magnoliopsida; Asterales; Asteraceae
Description: long non-coding RNA (LSAT_LNC005072)
Source: RNAcentral
AAACACGUCUUCAGCUAGUUUUACUUAUAAAUAAAACUACUUAUCAGUAAACUAAGUAUGGCAAUUAUACUUAUACUUUUCGGUCUUGGACUUUUAAGAAUACAAUUCGGUUAUUUGGAAAAUAUAGAAUUUUUCAGGAAUAAACAUCAUUAUUUUACUAGUAAGCAGUUUACAAUUCAACUUUCUAGAAACAAAUACGAUUACUUACUCUUAGGUUAGGAACCACAGUAGGAACCAAUAUGGGUUGUAACAACGUAAAUUUUCAAACAAAUUUUUCAUUUCAAAAUAAAGUAUUUUCAUUCAAAACAAGGCAUAAACAUUCCAAGUGUCAUGUCAGAAUACAAAUCGUAUGAAUCCCAAGAUCACAAAACAUCUAUCAGUGUGUACAGAUCACGCCGGCGCCUUCCCACGGUCCUCGCUAGUACCUGAAACACAUACAUAACAACUGUAAGCAUAAAUGCUUAGUGAGUUCCCCAAAAUACAACUUACGCACAUACGCCUUUCCAGGCCCUGACCUUCCGGUCCAUGUGUCUCAGGGGACUUCCGUCCCUGCUGGGUAAACCUUCCGGUCCUACCCACGCCAACCUUACGGUCCAGAUUACACGCCUUCCGGCCCAUAACAUAAUGCCUUCCGGCCCACAUAAACAUACAUAGCACGCAUAACAAUUAUCUUAUCACAUAUAGCACAUAUAUCACAUAUCAUAUCCGACCUUCCGGUCACACAGUCAAACCCUUCCGGGUACGGUAUAGUGAGAAGACUCACCUCGUGAAUAUCGAAAGCUAGCAAAUCCCGAAGUCACUCAUGCUCGAUCCGCCGAGCUACAAUCUCCCUAUAACAUCAUACAUCUCUUAUUAACACUUUUAUCUUCUAAGUUUGACUAUCCCUAAGAAGUCAAACAUAGGUCAACUCUGGUCAACGGUCAACGGUCAACUUGACCGGACUCGGCGAGCGCUAGGGCGACUCGGCGAGUCUAGACGUCCUCACCAAUUCUCUAAGAUUCCCUUUCUACACGUCGAGUAUCCCCCCUGACUCGACGAGUUCCUCCUGGAAGAAUCGCGGGGCCACCCCGACUCAACUCGCCGAGUCUGAAGAACAACUCGGCGAGUCCCAGUUCGACUCAGACCACCUGUUAACCCUCUCUAACUCGCCCUGACUCACCGAUCCAACCCAUAACCCGGACAGGACCAUUCUAAGGCAAUCUUCAAGCUACUCGCCGAGUCUGUUCAUCGGACUCGGCGAGUCCAUGCCAUGCAACCGCUCAAACUGCUUUCUAAGGUUAGAUCUGCUCCGGCAAUUCAUAGGUCUGGCCUUCCUAGACUGGUUCAUCACGUAAAGUCCUUAUUUCGGUGCUCAUAAUACACCCCAUGACUCAUAAUUGACGUUUUGACCUAAGGCAUAAGGAUUCCAAUCCAAAACCUCCAUUGAUUCCCGAAAAGCUCAGGCAUGGGACACUCUGGACUUCCAAGGGUCCCAAUAUCGGGUUCCAAUCGCUUGGGGGACUAAGGAAACACUCAAUCUAGCCACAAAAGGGUUCAAUAAACCCUAAAUCCAUAUACACAUCAACAUGGAAGGGAUCAACUCGAAAAUAUUACCUGAAUAACGUUGCUCUGUGUCCCCAACCCUCAGAAUAUGGUUUCUCCUGUUGUUCCCUUAACCAAGCCUCCUCCUCCUUGCAAAAUAACAUUUCCAAGAUCAAUAAUGGUCUUCUACCUUGCUCCAGAUGCUCACAAUCGAAUUAGGGUUUCACUCAAAGGACUAGGGUGAACAAUGACGGCCAUAAGGCCCCUUAUAUAUGUCCUAAACCUGGGAAGUUAGGGUUUCGCUAAACAGCGCGGACUCGCCGAGUCCAGUCGCGAACCCGCGACCAGAUCCGUGAUCCUACUCGGCGAGUCUGAGAUCCAACUCGCCGAGUCCCCUCUUAAAACACCCAAAAUCAUAAAUAUAACAAUACCUGGAAUUCCGGGUUGUUACAUGGGUCACAUUUAUUUUACGAAAUCAAAGCAUUACUUUAUAUACUUUAAGCAUAAGAAACACAUAUAUUUUGGUCUUAAGGCCUAAGACUACAUUCCAUUUUAUUAAGAAAGUAUAGGACUUUCUGAAGGAACACACAAACAUUUUCAAGGAAACAAAAACG